AUUGAACGCUGGCGGCAGGCCUACCCCUUCCAAUUCAACCGAUGAAGGGAGGUUGCCCCUGGAUUCAGGGGGGGGCGGGGGAGGAAUGCCUAGGGAUUUGCCUGGGUGUGGGGGAUAACGUCCGGAAACGGGGGGUAAUUCCGCCAACGUCCCGAGGGAGAAAGGGGGGGGUCUUUGGGACCUCACCCAACAGGUGGACCUAGGUGGGAUUAGCUAGUUGGGGGGGUAAAGGCCUUCCAAGGCGACGAUCCGUAACUGGUCUGAGAGGAUGAUCAGUCACACUGGAACUGAGACACGGUCCAGACUCCUACGGGAGGCAGCAGUGGGGAAUAUUGGACAAUGGGCGAAAGCCUGAUCCAGCCAUGCCGCGUGUGUGAAGAAGGUCUUCGGAUUGUAAAGCACUUUAAGUUGGGAGGAAGGGCAGUAAGUUAAUACCUUGCUGUUUUGACGUUACCAACAGAAUAAGCACCGGCUAACUUCGUG
RNAcentral lists this ribosomal RNA (483 nucleotides) under uncultured bacterium. RNAcentral describes it as "partial 16S ribosomal RNA". It matches the Rfam family "Bacterial small subunit ribosomal RNA", at positions 30 to 507 of the family's 1533-position model. The record is from RNAcentral.